AGGAUGAACGCUGGCGGCGUGCUUAACACAUGCAAGUCGAACGAUGAAGGCUGGAGCUUGCUCUGGCUGGAUUAGUGGCGAACGGGUGGGUAACACGUGAGUAACCUGCCCCAGACUCUGGGAUAAGCGCUGGAAACGGCGUCUAAUACCGGAUACGAGCCUUCCACCGCAUGGUGAGGAGCUGGAAAAGUAUUUCGGCUGGGAUGGACUCGCGGCCUAUCAGCUUGUGUGAGGUAUGGCUCACAAGGCGACGACGGGUAGCCGGCCUGAGAGGGUGACCGGCCACGACGUGGGACUGAGACGCGGCCCAGACUCCGUACGGGAGCAGCAGGUGGGAAUAGUGCACAAGUGGGCGACAAGCCUGAUGCAGCCAACGCCGCGUGGAGGACGAAGGCCGUU
Molecule: ribosomal RNA, 399 nt
Filed under: uncultured soil bacterium
Lineage: Bacteria
Description: bacterial SSU rRNA
Rfam family: Bacterial small subunit ribosomal RNA
Source: RNAcentral